UGCUGCUCCUGCAUCCAGUAAUGAUUCCCAGCAUUUGCUCCUCAAUGCGAUCUCCGCCGGGGGUUGGAAAUUGCAGUGGGCUGGGUCUAUUGUUCAACUGACGCACAGCUCCAGUUUACUGGGAGUGUAGGGCACCAACCUUAAGUCGAUUCCUUUCAGUUCCGGCUGCAGACUGUUGCUGCUCACGUGGGCUGCCUUGUUCAUCGCACAAUAAAUGCAAUUUCUGUUCAGGGAGGUUAUGGUUGCAGCUUUGGAGGCGUGUAUUUCAGAUGUCACGACUUUGACUUAAGUUAUUGAAAGGCUGAAUCGAUUUGGGAGGUAAUGCAAGGAACCCGAAUCCCCAGAAACAAAAUGUGGGCGAAAUUGACGCUCAUUGUGUGGCAGCACUUUAUUUUUGCCUCAGCUAGUGACUCGGCUACGCACGAAACAACACAAGCAGGUUUUUCAACAGACGUCAGUACAUUUUUAUCAGAAAAUUCAUCUACCACUUUUAGCUUUUCCACGCCUCUUACCACAACCUUGCAAAACGCAACGGCAUUCAGCACAAAACUAGGUCGCAGUUCAGAAGAAGGUGCAGAGACAAAGUCUACAUCCUCUUCCCUCGGUCAAACAUUUUUCUCAAAUACAAGUCACCCAACCAGCACUGUGCUCUCUACUGCGGCAAUGAAUCUCACUUUUCAAAACAACACAGCUCCUAAUGCCACGGCCGUGCCGACCACAAUAGCUCCCAAUGCAACUUCUAAUAGUUCAGUAAUAGUAACAAGUUACUCACCCAACAUAACAAAUAGUUCGUUAAAAGGAGAGAUUACAACUAGUACAACAGAUAAUCCGCUAACAAAUAGUACGGCCCAGACAACCUCACUGCACUCUUUCGCUGGCAAUAGUUCUUUCACAAGCGGAGAGCCAACCUCUCUUACAAAUAGCAUCGGAUACAGAGAGGUCACUGCAAUAAAAGUCUCUACUGCCACCUUUACAAAACCUGAUGCUUCUACCACCCUUUUAUCAUCAUCGAGCAAAGCCACCUUGCUAAGCAAGAGUCCCUCAAAUAAUAGCACGGAAGGAGAAAAUAGAUUUGCAGCUCCAGGCAAUGCAGUUACGUAAACUUACAGAUGGAAACAAAAUAGCUUUGAACAUUUGAAAACAAAACAGAAAAAAAAUUUCCAGUUAAAAGCCAUACAACUAUUAAAUAAAUACAAAUCAGGGAAAUAAUGAGGCUGAGUAUAUUUUAGGGACAGCAUUAAUUGUUGCAGUGUGUUUGAUUCUUAUUGCUGCAGCAUUAUUGGGAGUGGUGAUGUAUUUGAAGAAAAGGAGAGGGUUCUACAGCCGACUACAGGACGAAAAUCCAAUUGGAUCUUGGAGCAAUUACAAUAACCCCGUGUUUGAAGAUUCAUGACAUUAAAUCAAGAAAGUACAUGGCAAGAAGUUACAUAGAGCUUUGAAUAUAUUUCCUUUCAUUUGAAAUUUUAAAAAAACACAAAACGGGAUGAAAUUAAUCUUGUGUGUCAGCAAAGUUGACAUUUGUGAAUCAAUAACUGGUUUGCAUCCAUGUCAUUUUCCAUUAGUUCAGUUACUCAUUUUGCAUCUCUGCCAAAGAUCAACGUUACCCCCAAGUACUUCAUAUUUUUAAUUUUUUUGGAAUUCUAGGAAUGAAUUUCAGUGUUUGUCACAAUGUUUAAGUUAAUGGCAUCAAGUAUAUAUGAUAAAAAUAUUAAAUUACAGUGUCAGGGUCAGUGGUAUAGCAACUGCAACCUGAGUUAAUGCUUCAUAAAUUGAUCUUGCUUGCUUGUUUUUGCAAACAUAGGAUACAUUCUCUCCAAAUCUGCCUAAGCAGGAUAUUGGCUCUAUAUUGUUGAAAUGCACUUUAUUUUCUGCUAGUGCAGAUUAUUUUGAAGUGCCAAGCUGAGCUUUAAACUUAGUCAGUGUGGCUAUUGUACAUACAGACUGAAAAUUUGACUCAGUACAAACUAAUAUGUGAAAGAACAGUUCCUAUUCCUAGGAGAAGUAUGAUAUUUCUAUGAAUUAAUUGUCUACUACUUUGCAACUUGUGCUCAGAAGGCUUAUGGCCAUUGUCAGUAUGGUCAACCUUGGACACACAGUAUUUAUCCUAAAGUUUCUUCAAAUAAGGAGACUUUUAUUUCAGGCAAACUUGAAGUUUACCAACAUGUUAUUAUAACAUCAAUCAAGUUAGCGUAGUUGUAGGUUGACCUAGAAUGCUAAAAGUGGAUUCUAAACGUGUGAGAUGACCUUUUACUAAGGUCUUUGACCUUAUUCUAUGAAAAUACCUCAGUAGAAAAGGAUUACCAUUAUAAAAUCUAUCAGGAAUCUUGACACAUGCCUUUUAACUACAGAUUUAUACAGAAGAAUGAAGCAUGGCAAUGCAUUUUCUCAUAUAUGGCAGACAAUCAUAAUCUACUUCAUAUACUGGAAAUCAGAAAUAAAAACAGAAAUUGCUAGUAAUACUCAGGAUUUGUAGAGAGAGAACAGAGUUAAUGGUUCAGGUCAAUGAUCUUUAUUCAUUAACCUUUUUUGGAUUUCUUCUCUAAUAUACGGCAGGAAUUGAUGGGGUGUUUGGAUUGUGCAAAAUAACAAAUAUAUUACAUUUAUUAUGUGGGCCUGAAUUCAAUACUCUGCUUGGGAUUUUUAAGGACUAUCUAAAUGUAUUGUGAAAUAAUAUGCUUGGUAAGUGAUGCAUUUUUGUGAUAUUUGUCCAACAAACAUUUAAAUGUAAUAAAUUUUGUGUUAUCAACAUUUAGACGUGAAUAUAUUAUUACUGAUUUGUCUUGAAUAUUUCUGCAAGUAUCCUGGGAUAUAGUUGGGAGUAUUGGUUUCCAUUUUCUUUAAGAAAAUAACACAAACAUUUUGAAUAUUUUUACUGUAACAGCAUUGGCUACAAUCACAGAUUCCAAUGUUUCCUUAUUCCUGCUACCAAGAGUGGAAAAAUGAAGUUUUUCCUACAUUGUGCUUGGUCAUCCAAAAACUUUAUAAUUGUUCAACUGAGUCUUGAUGAACUUAAUGUCAGCUGGUAACACUUCAAUAAAAAAAACUUUGGCCUUCA
RNA transcript from Pristis pectinata (smalltooth sawfish), 3055 nucleotides. It is a transcript of the gene named prostate androgen-regulated mucin-like protein 1 homolog, with no coding region annotated. NCBI's taxonomy places the organism in Eukaryota, Metazoa, Chordata, Chondrichthyes, Rhinopristiformes, Pristidae. The transcript has 5 exons. The record is from RefSeq and is a predicted model, not a curated record.